UGCGGACUUGGAUUUGGGCGGUCCAAGGGCUCCGAACGAACCACAUAGCCUGUGCUUUCGUAUCGUAAUUUGGGAAUGAUGAUUGAUCCCCGGUGAACAAUUGAGAGAGCUUCUGCCAUGGCUAAUUCUUCUUCUCGUCUGAAGGAUUUCUCUUUCACGUCGGAAGGAAACACCGCAACAGUUGUCAUUUCAGUGUUGCUGCAGUUUGAGUUGUUUGAAAAAAAUCUGGAGUAGCUCUGCUGAACAAUAUGUGUUGGAAUCAUAGAGGUGGCCAUGUUUAUCAUACAUGAUACAACUUUUAACUCAAAGAUACGCAGUAUAGUGGUUAUACGGAGAACAAACUGUGUGCAAUAUUAAACAUUAGUGCUCCAACAGUUCUGGCGCACAGACGCUAUAAUCAUUUGAAUCGGCAUAAAGUUUCCACCUUUUGCUGUCACACAUCUCGAUUGAUUCCUCUUUUUGGGUGGCAUUGAUGAAUACACAACUGAAAAUGGGAAAGAUUCACUGAACUGAUUGUGGCUCGUUGGAAAAAUGAAGAAUAAAUAUGUCACUGAAGGUAAAUUGAGCAGUUGACGGACGUGAAGAAAGAAGGGGUCUGAGAAUGUAGCAAACGUUAUCUAUUUUUGGACCACUUUUAGGUGCCUUUUCUCCUUUUAAAUACAGUUAAUUCUUAUCACCUCAUCAUAAGUUUGGGUUGAGCCCUUUAUGUUUCAGUCUCACUAAAUAUUAUUCUUUUCUUUCUUAACCAAACUGUCAAUAAAUCAUGUCUAGAUAAUCAACAUGCCCCUGUUGUUUGUGAAAGAACAUUGAAUCAUGAUGCCACUGUUAAUAGAUUGAACCUUCCCGCAUUUUGCUGAGUUCCUCCUUGAGUGUUAUGUGCAUCCAUUGAUUUCAGGGCCACUAGAACUUCCCAGUGUUAUUUUUCCUUAGAUUUAGCUUUAUCUUAUAUUUAUUGUGUAGAGAUUAUUUCCCAUUUCCCUUUGCUUUCAGUCUUUGUAGGUCUAGUGGAAGUUAGCCCAUCGGUAUGGUUUAUCAGGUUGUAAGAGACGCCAUUCAAAUAUUUUACAAAAAUUAUAUUCAUGGAAGAACAUAAUCUGCAACUUGUUUACAAAAUCAUUAUGUACACUUUUUUUACCUCAAGCUUCUUUUCCUAAUUGCCUUCUACAAUUACAAGUAAUUUAAAUAAUUUUGAAUAUGACUCUUUGGUGGGGGGAAAUAACUGUGAGCUAGCUCUGCAGCCAUUUCAUUAGACUUACAAUAUAUGUGAAGGCAUACCAAUACGAUAGCUGUCGAUCUUUCCCCCCCCCCCCCAUUUGCACAGGGCAGUUGAUGGAGUAUGAUGACUAUCAAUUUCCAUCCUCAGGGCUAAGCCGCUAAGGUACCUCCAUGCAUGCAAUAGGAGCCAUUUCCUUUUGUAAAAUGAAUAGUGCUAGUGUCAAGAGAAGGGUACUGUCUUGUGAAAUAUUCUUUGGCCGGGAGCAAGAAUUGCCAAAGGGUCAUAAGCAUAUUUCCUCUGGACAAAAGCCUGCCACUGUGGGCCAAAGUGAUCGUUUCCUGUGGAAGAAGGCACUGCAGAGGAAAGGAAGGCCACUAAGUAGAAGACAUCUUCCUCUGGAAUAACAACAGAAGUUCUGUUGUCCCACCUGUAACAAAGUCAAUAAUAAGUGCUGGUUCCAGUGAUAUUCUUGCCCGUGUAAUGAUGCCAAACUGACUGAGUCCUCCAAGAACACUGUGAAAGAGGAACUUUCUUUAAAGGGAGCACCAACGGAGUGAAACCCAGAGAAGUUGCACAGCAGAUGAUCUAAUGUGCUCAUAAGCUGAUGGACGUUACUUAUCUGGGGGCCGUGGCGAAAUGCUUGUCCACUGAUCCCAGCAUUGGACAAAGUUCCACCCACGGUUAAAUGUAAAUAAUCAGUCCAAGAUUUUGGUGCUAGCCCAUAUUUCAGGCUCUCAUGCAGG
Molecule: long non-coding RNA, 1959 nt
Organism: Tripterygium wilfordii
Lineage: Eukaryota; Viridiplantae; Streptophyta; Magnoliopsida; Celastrales; Celastraceae
Exons: 7
Source: RefSeq, a predicted model, not a curated record